AUUGAACGCUGGCGGCAGGCCUAACACAUGCAAGUCGAACGGUAACAGGAAGCAGCUUGCUGCUUCGCUGACGAGUGGCGGACGGGUGAGUAAUGUCUGGGAAGCUGCCUGAUGGAGGGGGAUAACUACUGGAAACGGUAGCUAAUACCGCAUAAUGUCGCAAGACCAAAGAGGGGGACCUUCGGGCCUCUUGCCCUCGUAUGUGCCCAGAUGGGAUUAGCUUGUUGGUGGGGUAACGGCUCACCAAGGCGACGAUCCCUAGCUGGUCUGAGAGGAUGACCAGACACACUGGAACUGAGACACGGUCCAGACUCCUACGGGAGGCAGCAGUGGGGAAUAUUGCACAAUGGGCGCAAGCCUGAUGCAGCCAUGCCGCGUGUAUGAAGAAGGCCUUCGGGUUGUAAAGUACUUUCAGCGGGGAGGAAGGGAGUAAAGUUAAUACCUUUGCUCAUUGACGUUACCCGCAGAAGAAGCACCGGCUAACUCCGUG
Molecule: ribosomal RNA, 490 nt
Filed under: uncultured bacterium
Lineage: Bacteria
Description: partial 16S ribosomal RNA
Rfam family: Bacterial small subunit ribosomal RNA
Source: RNAcentral